Anolis carolinensis (green anole) is the source of this 68-nucleotide small nucleolar RNA. NCBI's taxonomy places the organism in Eukaryota, Metazoa, Chordata, Lepidosauria, Squamata, Anolidae. The record is from Ensembl.
ACCUUAUGAUGAGAAAUUUGCCCAGUUCUGCUACUGAAUGGAAGUGGUGACAAUUGGUUUCUGAAGGU